Molecule: long non-coding RNA, 282 nt
Filed under: Sus scrofa (pig)
Lineage: Eukaryota; Metazoa; Chordata; Mammalia; Artiodactyla; Suidae
Description: lncRNA (ENSSSCG00070023883.1)
Source: RNAcentral
UUGUAUUUUGCGGAGCUCUUUCUUACCGAGCCUUUCUCUAUUUUAGUGUUUUGCUGGGACCAAAGGAUUUGGGCACAGACUGGUGGUGUCUCAGUGGAUAUCGCCUCUGAGGGGGACAGACAGAUGGACAUGGAGGCCCUCCCAGAGGAAGACCCACAGGACGUGAUCUCUGUUCAGCAACACUGAGAUUCCCUGAUGGGGAGUGUGGAUUCAGAGUUCUCCUGCACCCUUGAGGAAUCCUUGUGAUAGCCCUGUGUGUAUAUCACCCUCCCCUGGUCUUGA